Molecule: ribosomal RNA, 253 nt
Filed under: uncultured bacterium
Lineage: Bacteria
Description: partial 16S ribosomal RNA
Rfam family: Bacterial small subunit ribosomal RNA
Source: RNAcentral
UACAGAGACUGCAAGCGUUAUUCGGAUUCACUGGGCGUAAAGGGUGCGCAGGCGGCCGUGUGUGUGAGGCGUGAAAGCCCGGAGCUCAACUCCGGAAUUGCACCUCAAACUACACGGCUAGAGCAUUGGAGAGGGAAGCGGAAUUCACGGUGUAGCAGUGAAAUGCGUAGAUAUCGUGAGGAACACCAGGGGCGAAGGCGGCUUCCUGGACAAUUGCUGACGCUCAGGCACGAAAGCGUGGGGAGCAAAAGGG